This 1018-nucleotide long non-coding RNA is filed under the name Sus scrofa (pig). Its description in RNAcentral is "lncRNA (ENSSSCG00055027426.1)". Lineage: Eukaryota; Metazoa; Chordata; Mammalia; Artiodactyla; Suidae. The record is from RNAcentral.
AUGGGGGUGGGGAAAGUCUCCAUUUUAGCACGAGACACCAAGGCCCUUCCUCAUAGAGACGAUCAGAGCUCACUCUUGAGAGAGCUUAUUACCCACAAACCAGCCACACAUAAGACACAGGAGGAAAAUUCCAAAACUAAGGAAGAGGGUAAUGACGGGCUUCCUGCCAACGGUGUACAGACUGGAAUGAGCCUCGGAGAUGCUGUGCUGCAAGCCAACACUGGCAGGUCCAGUGACCAGGUAAGCCUUUGUGGGGGCUGGAGCAGAGCAGGAUGGAGGAGCCCUGCCACAGUUUAGAAAAGUACCUGGGGAGUUCCUGUCAUGGCUCAGCAGAAAUGAAUUUGACUAGUAUCCGUGCGGACGCAGGUUCGAUCCCUGGCCUCGCUCCGUGAGUUAAGGAUCUGGCGUUGCUGUGAGCUGUGGUGUAGGCUGCAGAUGUAGCUUGGAUCUGGCAUUGCUGUGGCUGUGGUGUAGGCCGAUGGCUACAGCUCCUAUUCCACCCCUAGCCUGGGAACUUCCAUAUGCCGUGGGUGCACCCCCACCCCCCAGAAAGAAAAGCACCUGGCAGUAAAAAUACUGGCACAAACACAAUUAUUGCCUGUACCAUUUCUGUGUGACUCUUGGAACGCAGCAGUUCCCCAAAAAGGUUAGACCCAGAUCAAAAGGAAGGGAGCGGAAAGGGGAAGAAACCUUCACCGAGGGUUUCUGGCCACACUUCAGACCAGCAGUUCGUCCUCCUACCAAGAACCCUCUCUCUCCAACUCGGGUGUUCACGAGCUUCAGGACACCAGCAUUCUCUUUCCUCUCACUAAUGAACUGUAUCGAGAGCAAACCUCUAACAACAAUCAUUGAAAAGGAAAGUGAUAUUCAAUUUUAAAACACUUCUAAUUAAAUCUGCAUUUUUUGGACAGUUUUAUUGACAUUACACAACAAUUCCUGCUCAGCUCACUGAAAUACGUGCCUCUCUUUAGAGGAUACACCUUUCGAGAGGGAGUAUUCCAAGUCUGCUUUAAAAAAA